AGUGAACGCUGGCGGUAGGCCUAACACAUGCAAGUCGAACGGCAGCACAGUAAGAGCUUGCUCUUACGGGUGGCGAGUGGCGGACGGGUGAGGAAUACAUCGGAAUCUACUUUUUCGUGGGGGAUAACGUAGGGAAACUUACGCUCAUACCGCAUACGACCUACGGGUGAAAGCAGGGGAUCUUCGGACCUUGCGCGAUUGAAUGAGCCGAUGUCGGAUUAGCUAGUUGGCGGGGUAAAGGCCCACCAAGGCGACGAUCCGUAGCUGGUCUGAGAGGAUGGUCGGCGACACUGGAACUGAGACACGGUCCAGACUCCUACGGGACGCAGCAGUGGGGAAUGGUGGACAAUGGGCGCAAGCCUGACCCAGCCAUACCGCGUGGGUGAAGAAGGCCUUCGGGUUGUAAAGCCCUUUUGUUGGGAAAGAAAAGCAGCCGGUUAAGACGCCGCUGGUCUGACGGUACCCAAAGAAUAAGCACCGGCUAACUUCGUG
RNAcentral lists this ribosomal RNA (492 nucleotides) under uncultured bacterium. Its description in RNAcentral is "partial 16S ribosomal RNA". It matches the Rfam family "Bacterial small subunit ribosomal RNA", at positions 29 to 507 of the family's 1533-position model. The record is from RNAcentral.